RNAcentral lists this long non-coding RNA (334 nucleotides) under Mytilus galloprovincialis (Mediterranean mussel). The record is from RNAcentral. Lineage: Eukaryota; Metazoa; Mollusca; Bivalvia; Mytilida; Mytilidae.
ACAAAAUUAAGGGAUGUGAGGGAUUCCAAAUCAACCUAAAGCUACGAAUGAGUCUGAAAUCAUCGGACAACGAAUAUAUGAAUGACGGUCGAAAAAUGUAGACAUUAAGGCUACUUCCAGCAGUUGUAGUCUGGUCUUGAAAAAAGUAUUCAAUAUAUCAGUUCGGCGCAACAGACAUUCCGGUCAGACAUGCAAACCCCGGCCAAAAAAAAAAAUACGCCCGUUUUUAUCUAUCAUGUUCAUUUAAUGCUUAAUAGUUCUGUUGGAUAUUCGUUUCUAAUAGCAAAAAAAUGGACAAGAUUAUUGUUUUCAAUCCAGAUACGGCCAGAAUUUU